Molecule: ribosomal RNA, 253 nt
Filed under: uncultured bacterium
Lineage: Bacteria
Description: partial 16S ribosomal RNA
Rfam family: Bacterial small subunit ribosomal RNA
Source: RNAcentral
UACAGAGGGGGCGAGCGUUGUUCGGAAUUACUGGGCGUAAAGGGCGCGUAGGCGGGCUGGCAAGUCAGGGGUGAAAGCCCACGGCUCAACCGUGGAAGUGCCUUUGAUACUGCCGGCCUGGAGGGAGGUAGGGGCGUGCGGAACUUCCGGUGGAGCGGUGAAAUGCGUAGAUAUCGGAAGGAACACCGGUGGCGAAAGCGGCGCGCUGGACCUCUUCUGACGCUGAGGCGCGAAAGCCAGGGGAGCAAACGGG